UACGGAGGGUGCAAGCGUUAUCCGGAAUCACUGGGUUUAAAGGGUGCGUAGGCGGUCCUUUAAGUCAGUCGUGAAAUGCACCGGCUCAACCGGUAACCUGCGAUUGAUACUAUUGGACUUGAAUCAAGUUGAGGUAGGCGGAAUGUGACAUGUAGCGGUGAAAUGCUUAGAUAUGUCAUAGAACACCGAUUGCGAAGGCAGCUUGCUGGGCUUCGAUUGACGCUGAGGCACGAAAGCGUGGGGAGCAAACAGG
RNAcentral lists this ribosomal RNA (253 nucleotides) under uncultured bacterium. RNAcentral describes it as "partial 16S ribosomal RNA". It matches the Rfam family "Bacterial small subunit ribosomal RNA", at positions 524 to 776 of the family's 1533-position model. The record is from RNAcentral.